AGUGCUAUAGUAUAACGGUAAUACGGCUGGUUUUGACCCAGUUGUUCUAGGUUCGACUCCUAGUGGCACUA
RNAcentral lists this transfer RNA (71 nucleotides) under Yasminevirus sp. GU-2018. It matches the Rfam family "tRNA". From Rfam's summary of the family: Transfer RNA (tRNA) molecules are approximately 80 nucleotides in length. Their secondary structure includes four short double-helical elements and three loops (D, anti-codon, and T loops). Further hydrogen bonds mediate the characteristic L-shaped molecular structure. tRNAs have two regions of fundamental functional importance: the anti-codon, which is responsible for specific mRNA codon recognition, and the 3' end, to which the tRNAs corresponding amino acid is attached (by aminoacyl-tRNA synthetases). tRNAs cope with the degeneracy of the genetic code in two manners: having more than one tRNA (with a specific anti-codon) for a particular amino acid; and 'wobble' base-pairing, i.e. permitting non-standard base-pairing at the 3rd anti-codon position. The record is from Rfam by way of RNAcentral. Lineage: Varidnaviria; Bamfordvirae; Nucleocytoviricota; Megaviricetes; Imitervirales; Mimiviridae.